AUAUAUAUAUAUAUGUUUAAAUUUUUUUUGCUUCAAAUGUUUAUGUUUGGUUAAGAUAUGAUUUUUUACUUUUAAUUUUUUGCAAAUAUCUUAUUUAAUUGCUUUGGGCUAAACAGCUCUCUUCCUUUUUCUCUACAAAGGUAAGUAAUAUUAGACUAAGUAAAUGGAGAAACUCGAACUCAGAAUCUCCCUACUCUUACAUCUUAAAGGUGGAGGAAGACUAAUCAGACUAUUCCCUGAUUGAUAACAACUAAUUAAUUUUUAAUGUGCAAACAAAUUAUGCUUUUUUUUUUGCUUUUAAAAAAUCACAAAGUAGAAAAAAAGGGGUUAUUUUUUAGCAUUGAACCAAACUACAUUAGUAAUUCGAUAUAUAUCAUUUACAGG
This 384-nucleotide unclassified non-coding RNA is filed under the name Hevea brasiliensis (rubber tree). Lineage: Eukaryota; Viridiplantae; Streptophyta; Magnoliopsida; Malpighiales; Euphorbiaceae. The record is from RNAcentral.